Molecule: ribosomal RNA, 433 nt
Filed under: uncultured bacterium
Lineage: Bacteria
Description: partial 16S ribosomal RNA
Rfam family: Bacterial small subunit ribosomal RNA
Source: RNAcentral
AACGAACGCUGGCGGCAUGCCUAACACAUGCAAGUCGAACGAGACCUUCGGGUCUAGUGGCGCACGGGUGCGUAACGCGUGGGAACCUGCCCUUAGGUUCGGCAUAACUCCCCGAAAGGGGUGCUAAUACCGGAUAAUGUCUUCGGACCAAAGAUUUAUCGCCUUUGGAUGGGCCCGCGUUGGAUUAGCUAGUUGGUAGGGUAAAAGCCUACCAAGGCGACGAUCCAUAGCUGGUCUGAGAGGAUGAUCAGCCACACUGGGACUGAGACACGGCCCAGACUCCUACGGGAGGCAGCAGUGGGGAAUAUUGGACAAUGGGCGAAAGCCUGAUCCAGCAAGGCCGCGUGAGUGAUGAAGGCCUUAGGGUUGUAAAGCUCUUUUACCCGGGAUGAUAAUGACAGUACCGGGAGAAUAAGCUCCGGCUAACUCCGUG